This 253-nucleotide ribosomal RNA is filed under the name uncultured bacterium. Its description in RNAcentral is "partial 16S ribosomal RNA". It matches the Rfam family "Bacterial small subunit ribosomal RNA", at positions 524 to 776 of the family's 1533-position model. The record is from RNAcentral.
UACGGGGGGGGCAAGCGUUGUUCGGAAUUACUGGGCGUAAAGGGCUCGUAGGCGGCCAACUAAGUCAGACGUGAAAUCCCUCGGCUUAACCGGGGAACUGCGUCUGAUACUGGUUGGCUUGAAUCCGGGAGAGGGAUGUGGAAUUCCAGGUGUAGCGGUGAAAUGCGUAGAUAUCUGGAGGAACACCAAUGGCGAAGGCAGCUCGCUGGAACGGUACUGACGCUGAGGCGCGAAAGCGUGGGGAGCGAACAGG